Molecule: ribosomal RNA, 731 nt
Filed under: uncultured bacterium
Lineage: Bacteria
Description: bacterial SSU rRNA
Rfam family: Bacterial small subunit ribosomal RNA
Source: RNAcentral
AACAGGAUUAGAUACCCUGGUAGUCCACGCUGUAAACGAUGUCGACUUGGAGGUUGUGCCCUUGAGGCGUGGCUUCCGGAGCUAACGCGUUAAGUCGACCGCCUGGGGAGUACGGCCGCAAGGUUAAAACUCAAAUGAAUUGACGGGGGCCCGCACAAGCGGUGGAGCAUGUGGUUUAAUUCGAUGCAACGCGAAGAACCUUACCUACUCUUGACAUCCAGAGAAUUUGCUAGAGAUAGCUUAGUGCCUUCGGGAACUCUGAGACAGGUGCCGCAUGGCCGUCGUCAGCUCGUGUUGUGAAAUGUUGGGUUAAGUCCCGCAACGAGCGCAACCCUUAUCCUUUGUUGCCAGCACGUAAUGGUGGGAACUCAAAGGAGACUGCCGGUGAUAAACCGGAGGAAGGUGGGGAUGACGUCAAGUCAUCAUGGCCCUUACGAGUAGGGCUACACACGUGCUACAAUGGCAUAUACAAAGAGAAGCGAACUCGCGAGAGCAAGCGGACCUCAUAAAGUAUGUCGUAGUCCGGAUUGGAGUCUGCAACUCGACUCCAUGAAGUCGGAAUCGCUAGUAAUCGUAGAUCAGAAUGCUACGGUGAAUACGUUCCCGGGCCUUGUACACACCGCCCGUCACACCAUGGGAGUGGGUUGCAAAAGAAGUAGGUAGCUUAACCUUCGGGAGGGCGCUUACCACUUUGUGAUUCAUGACUGGGGUGAAGUCGUAACAAGGUAACC